This is a long non-coding RNA of Onychostoma macrolepis, 4479 nucleotides long. RefSeq lists it as uncharacterized. The transcript has 3 exons. NCBI's taxonomy places the organism in Eukaryota, Metazoa, Chordata, Actinopteri, Cypriniformes, Cyprinidae. The record is from RefSeq and is a predicted model, not a curated record.
GAAUUCCAGUCAGGAUUUAGAUCGUAUCAUAGUACUGAGACUGCUCUCAUUAGAGUUACAAAUGACCUGCUUCUAUCAUCUGAUCGUGGUUGUAUCUCUUUAUUAGUUCUACUGGAUCUUAGCGCUGCGUUCGACACUAUCGACCACAACAUUCUUUUGAAUAGACUACAAAACUUUGUUGGCAUUAGUGGAAGUGCCUUAGCAUGGUUCAAAUCGUACUUAUCUGACCGCCAUCAGUUCGUAGCAGUGAAUGAAGAGGUAUCAUAUCGAUCACAAGUGCAGUAUGGAGUACCUCAAGGCUCAGUACUAGGGCCGUUACUUUUCACGCUCUAUAUGUAACCCUUGGGAGAUAUUAUCAGGAGACAUGGUGUUCGCUUUCACUGUUAUGCUGAUGAUACUCAGCUCUAUAUUUCUUCGCGGCCCGGUGAAACACACCAAAUUGAGAAACUAACGGAAUGCAUAGUCGAUAUAAAAACUGGAUGACGAGUAAUUUUUACUGCUAAAUUCUGAAAAAACAGAGGUGUUAAUUAUCGGACCUAAAAACCCCACAUGUAAUAACCUAGAACAUUAUCUAACACUUGACGGCUGCUCUGUCAAUUCUUCUUCAUCAGUCAGGAACCUAGGUGUGCUGUUCGAUAGCAAUCUGUCAUUUGAAAGCCAUGUUUCUAGCAUCUGUAAAACUGCAUUUUUUCAUCUCAAAAGCAUAUCUAAAUUGCGACCAAUGCUCUCAACGUCAAAUGCAGAAAUGUUAAUUCAUGCGUUUAUGACCUCAAGGUUAGACUAUUGUAAUGCUUUAUUGGGUGGUUGUUCUGCACGCUUAAUCAACAAACUACAGUUAGUCCAAAAUGCAGCAGCUAGAGUCCUUACUAGAACCAGGAAAUAUGACCAUAUUAGCCCGGUUCUGUCAACACUGCACUGGCUCCCUAUCAAGCAUCGGAUAGAUUUUAAAAUCUUGUUAAUUACUUAUAAAGCCCUGAAUGGUUUAGCUCCUCAGUACUUGAGCGAGCUCUUAUCGCAUUAUAGUCCUCCACGUCCGCUGCGUUCACAAAACUCCGGCCGUUUGAUCAUACCUAGAAUAUCAAAAUCGACUGCGGGCGGCAGAUCCUAUUCCUAUUUAGCACCCAAACUCUGGAACAGUCUACCUAACACUGUUCGGGAGGCAGACACACACUGUCAGUUUAAAUCUAGAUUAAAGACCCAUCUCUUUAGCCUGGCUUACACAUAACACAUUAAUACGCUUCUAUUAUUCAAAUCCGUUAAAGGAUUGUUAGGCUGCAUUAAUUAGAUCAACCGGAACCGGGAACACUCCCCAUAAAACACGAUGUACUCGUUACAUCGUAAGUUGAAUGGCAUCUACGCUAAUAUUUGUCUGUUUCUUUCCUAGUCUGUUUCUCAGUCCGUAUCCGAUCAGAUGGUGGAUCAGCACCAAGAGAUGAUGUCUACAGCCCUGAUCGUCAGCGGAGACCAGGACACCCAGAUGACCCCCAGAGAUAUAUCCCCAGAUAUAUCAACCAAAAAUAACUAAAAUAUAAUAAAAUACCUAACUACAUAAUACUACUAUUGUUAGAAAUUGCAACAAAAUUAAAAUAGAAAUAUAAACUUUUGAACUGCGGGUUUCGUCUGGUCAGAGGAGAACUGGCCCCCCGACUGAGCCUGGUUUCUCCCAAGGUUUUUUUUUUCUCCAUUCUGUCUCAGAGGGAGUUUUGGUUCCUUGCCGCUGUCGCCUCUGGCUUGCUCAGUUGGGGACACUUAAUUUCUAGCGAUUAUCGCCGAUUUGAUUGCACAGAUACUAUUUAAACUAAACUGAGCUAGACAAUGACAUCUCUGAAUUCAAUAAUGAAAUGCCUUUAACUGAAAAUUGAAAAUUGAGUGUUUAAUCUUAUCAUUAUACAUUACUGACACUCUAUCCUCCAAUUUGAUACUGUUAAGUGCUUUGACGUGCGCUAUAUAAAUAAAGGUGACUUGACUUGACUUGACUAUUACUUUGCGUUUAGGACCAUUGACUCUGAUCCUUCUGUUUUAGUGCUUGAAGACAGUCAAGAACUGAUUUCCACUUAAAACUCAAGAUCAACAAUUGAAGAGCUGUGGAUUUUUGCUAAUACAAGUAAUCCACGCAACUCUAGUCCAUCAAUUAAUGAAUUGUGAAGCAGAAGGCUGUGUGUUUAAGAAACAAAUCAAUCAAGGCUGCAUUUCCCAAAAGCAUUGUAAGCUUUCAAUGGGUCUACGAUGUACUUGAGCUUACGAUGCUUUUGGGAAAUGUAAGCUGUGUCUCAAAGUUGAGUGCGCUCUUCCAAGACCGGAUUUGAAGUGCGACUGCAUCACACCGACACUACGAAGACUGUCCCAAUGUGAAGUGUACACACUCCGAAGUGCGACUGCAUCACGACGUAAGCUGUCCCAAUUCAGGAUGCGCCCUCCGAAGACCGCAUUCCAAGGCCGAUUGUGUCACUGUGGCGCGACGAAGGCUGCAGUAAUUUGAAAGCGACUUCAAAUGCGCCCUCCGUUUCCCAGGAAAAUGAAUUGUACAUCUGAUGGACACUUCGCACCCUACCAUAUCCCAGAAUCACUCGCACGCAGAUGACGAUGGAAUUUAUAUUCAAAGAACAUGGCGGAUGAGAGUUCUGUGGGGUAUUCACAUUGAAAUGAAUAUUCUGGAGAAAAUGAGCCUGCUGGGGAAGGACUUAAAAAUACAAAGAUUGUAAGUGUCCCGGGACAGGUGAGGGGGUGAGUGGAAGUUGGUGGAGCUACUCAGGAAGGACAUCCAAUUCCAGAGAGAGAGACAGAGGAGAGAAGAGCACAGGAGAGCAGGGAGAGAAAAAAUAAUUUUUUAUUUACCCUUCUCUCAAGAAGAGAAAACAGUGGAGAAAAUGGAUACAAAAGUAUCUUUUUUUUGUGUGUGUGUCACAUUGUCAAUGAAACAACCUAAUUUCUGCAGUUUAUUUUUGUGAUGCAAGUUAAAAAUGAAAUGGUAAGUUGUAUGCGUUAUUCAUUUCUGUAAUUUAAUUUAUUUGUAAAUGAGCCUGAGUAGUUUCUGUACAUUUUUUUUUUUUAUGCAUAUUCACAUGUGUAAAUAAAAGAGAAGUAAUUGUUAUGCACCUUUUUUUUUUUUUUUGUUAAUGCAUAUUACAAAACCUUCUAUCCUUUUUUUUUUUAAUGCAUAUUACAAAACCUUCUAUGCUUUUUUUAAAUGCAUAUUACAAAACCUUCUAUACUUUUUUUUUUUUUUUUUGUCCUGUAAACUAAUUUUUUACACAUUAAAACUAAUUGUUCUAUACAUUACUGAAAGUACUUUUUACAACAUUGCUUAGGUUUAACAUCAGAAAAACAAAAUCAAUUUUAAGCCCAGCCCAGCCUCCAUGUGUUCUGGGGUCUUCGGGAGGUGAAUCUCUUGGUGAAUGGCCAGCACCUCCUCAGCGACUCGGAGGACAGUGCGGUGGACAGUGGAACGAGGCAUGUCAAACACUCUGGAGACCACUCUGUAUGAUGCACCACUGGCCAGACAGAAGAGAAACACCAGGGUCUGGAUUGUGGCACCCCAUCCAUGUCAUCAUUCACUUCUCUGAAGAUCCAGCAGCACUGUCAGCACCUCCCUGAUCAGCCCAAAAUCAUUAAAAACCUGUCCAGCGCUGACACAUUCAGCUUUAUCCUGCAGUACAGGGGUCUGGUCUGGUUUAGCGAAAGAAGGAAAAGAGAAAUUGUUUAGAGCUAUGACAAAGUAAUUAGUAGAAGAAAUAUUAAGGUACUUUAGUAAACUACUUGUAGUAAUACCACAUUGGGGAAAAACUAGUCAUAUUUAAAACCUUAGUGGAAGGGAUGGUUCACCCAAAAAGGAAAAUGCCAAACCUGGAACAACUUGAGGGUGAGUAAAUGAUUUCAGAGUUUUCAUUUCUGGAUAUCUGUCCUCUAAUUAAAAGUAUUAUCUUACAUACUCUAUAAUGUAGUCUAUAUACUUAAGGUAUUGAGAGUAAAAGUAAAGGUUUUCAUUAUUGUUCUGAAAAAGAAUUCGUCAGGAUGGUUUUGCAUUAAUAUUACUGCUGCACUACUGUUUAUGUUGCAUUUUACUUCUGAAUAUGUUCAAGACUGUUAAAUUUAAAGUUGCCUACUGUUGGGUAGUAAAUUAUUGCAAACUAUAUCAGAGGCUGCAUCUGAAGGACUCGGUGCGCCCAAAGAGCACUGUUCAGCUGUGACAGCUGCCACUGAACAUUGAGCUGAAAAAUGCCCUAUUUUUAUUUUAUUUUUAUUUACAGUUUUAUUUUAAUGCUUGCCUAAAAAGUCCAGGUUGCAAACCUGUCUACAUAUGAUCACCAUGGUCAAGACAAUAAACUAUAUAAAAGCGCACCUUUGUCAGAUAUCAGUCAGCAUUUGAACGUGUGUGUGUGUGUUAGGGUUAGGUUUUGUGUUUUGUAGUUUUUCUUAUGUAUCAUUACAUUAUUCAAGUAAGCGCAAAGCCAAGACCUGCAUUUAAAGUUAAAAAUCCGG